This is a long non-coding RNA of Triticum aestivum (bread wheat), 494 nucleotides long. RefSeq lists it as uncharacterized. The record is from RefSeq and is a predicted model, not a curated record. The transcript has 3 exons. Lineage: Eukaryota; Viridiplantae; Streptophyta; Magnoliopsida; Poales; Poaceae.
UACGCCUGUACCUAUACGCGAACAGACACACGUCCUCGUCUCUUCGCCUCCUCAUCUCGAUCCCUAAUUCCGCAGCCGCCGCAGGGAAUCGGCGACGAACGACGGCGAACUCGACGCCGUUUCAUCGGGUGAAUGUUGACAUCGGCCGACCGUCCACCGGUGCAUAAUCUUUAAUUUGCAAGUGUUGGCUCUUCCCAUCCCAGGAGGAUAUGGAUAAAUUUUUGUUGAAAGGGAAACGACAAGCACUAGAUAGUAAUGUGGCAGGGACUUCAAGGCCUGUUAGACCAAGACAAGAUCUUGCUUCAAAUAUUGUUGCCAUAGCGUCAGUGGAGAGAUGCUUUUCAGCAAUGAAUAUCGUCAAGAGUGUUUUGCGGAACAAAAUGGGUGAUGAGUUCAUGAGUGAUUGCCUGAUUUGCUAUGUGGAGAAAGACAUAUUUUCUACAAUAACGAAUGAUGAUGUGAUUGAUCUAUUUAAGAAGAUGAAAGAUAGAGAA